CCGGGGUUGCACGAACUCGUGAGUACUCUCUCUCUCUCUCUCUCUCUCUCUCACACACACACACACACACACACAUGUUUGGUAUAUUAGAUUCAAUCGGUCAUUAUUAAUGAAGAAAAUCAAGUUAAGAUGUUGAUUAACUAUCAUACCAAUAUGCCUUUUCAAGUACAGGUCAGAGAAAAAUACAAAUUACUAUACUUUAAUUAUAUAUAGAUUUUCUUCUUGAGCAAUUACACUGAUGUUCCUUAAUUGUACAUUUUUGAAGAGGGUGGCGUGCAAGUGGACCGCCAUGGAGGACGCAGAUGGCACGGUGGAGGUGGAGGGCAUCACUGCCACUAUCCACACUGCAAAGAGGGUGUCCACAGGGAUGAGGCUCGUCAAACCGAGACUGAGACGGAGACUAAAUCUGGAGAAACUGUGAGUACUAAUACAAAUGACAAUGGAGAUAGACACAAGCCGUACAAGCCCUACAAACCCAAACCAAAGCACUGCAAACAUUGGCCACACUGUCAUUAAUCUCCUACUUAUUACGGACAUUAUGUUGAAUAUCGUAAAAGCUUAGCUUUAAAUAUGUUGUAUGUUUUCGAGUCAAUAAGGCAUCUGUUGCCAGUUUGCUAGCAACUGGUUUUAUUUACUGGAGUCUCACUCAAUAUGUAUGUCUUGUCGUUUGCUUCAUGCGAAAGGUUUAAUCCAAUAAAAUGUUGUUUUCAGUUUUAAUAAGGUAUAUUCUUUUUC
This 735-nucleotide long non-coding RNA is filed under the name Olea europaea subsp. europaea. The record is from RNAcentral. Lineage: Eukaryota; Viridiplantae; Streptophyta; Magnoliopsida; Lamiales; Oleaceae.